GGGGAAUAUUGGACAAUGGGGGCAACCCUGAUCCAGCCAUGCCGCGUGUGUGAAGAAGGCCUUUUGGUUGUAAAGCACUUUAAGCAGGGAGGAGAGGCUAAUGGUUAAUACCCAUUAGAUUAGACGUUACCUGCAGAAUAAGCACCGGCUAACUCUGUGCCAGCAGCCGCGGUAAUACAGAGGGUGCGAGCGUUAAUCGGGAUUACUGGGCGUAAAGCGAGUGUAGGUGGCUCAUUAAGUCACAUGUGAAAUCCCCGGGCUUAACCUGGGAACUGCAUGUGAUACUGGUGGUGCUAGAAUAUGUGAGAGGGAAGUAGAAUUCCAGGUGUAGCGGUGAAAUGCGUAGAGAUCCGGAGGAAUACCGAUGGCGAAGGCAGCUUCCUGGCAUAAUAUUGACACUGAGAUUCGAAAGCGUGGGUAGCAAACAGGAUUAGAUACCCUGGUAGUCCACGCCGUAAACGAUGUCUACUAGCCGUUGGGGUCCUUGAGACUUUAGUGGCGCAGUUAACGCGAUAAGUAGACCGCCUGGGGAGUACGGCCGCAAGGUUA
This 549-nucleotide ribosomal RNA is filed under the name uncultured bacterium. RNAcentral's name for it is "bacterial SSU rRNA". It matches the Rfam family "Bacterial small subunit ribosomal RNA", at positions 356 to 896 of the family's 1533-position model. The record is from RNAcentral.